AGUGAACGCUGGCGGUAGGCCUAACACAUGCAAGUCGAACGGCAGCACAGUAAGAGCUUGCUCUUACGGGUGGCGAGUGGCGGACGGGUGAGGAAUACAUCGGAAUCUACUUUUUCGUGGGGGAUAACGUAGGGAAACUUACGCUAAUACCGCAUACGACCUACGGGUGAAAGCAGGGGAUCUUCGGACCUUGCGCGAUUGAAUGAGCCGAUGUCGGAUUAGCUAGUUGGCGGGGUAAAGGCCCACCAAGGCGACGAUCCGUAGCUGGUCUGAGAGGAUGAUCAGCAACACUGGGACUGAGACACGGUCCAGACUCCUAAGGGAGGCAGCAGUGGGGAAUAUUGGACAAUGGGCGCAAGCCUGAUCCAGCCAUACCGCGUGGGUGAAGAAGGCCUUCGGGUUGUAAAGCCCUUUUGUUGGGAAAGAAAAGCAGCAGGUUAAUACCCCGCUGUUCUGACGGUACCCAAAGAAUAAGCACCGGCUAACUUCGUG
This 492-nucleotide ribosomal RNA is filed under the name uncultured bacterium. RNAcentral's name for it is "partial 16S ribosomal RNA". It matches the Rfam family "Bacterial small subunit ribosomal RNA", at positions 29 to 507 of the family's 1533-position model. The record is from RNAcentral.